Molecule: transfer RNA, 84 nt
Filed under: Gemmatimonadota bacterium
Lineage: Bacteria; Pseudomonadati; Gemmatimonadota
Also listed under: 1 other name
Description: tRNA-Leu
Rfam family: tRNA
About the family: Transfer RNA (tRNA) molecules are approximately 80 nucleotides in length. Their secondary structure includes four short double-helical elements and three loops (D, anti-codon, and T loops). Further hydrogen bonds mediate the characteristic L-shaped molecular structure. tRNAs have two regions of fundamental functional importance: the anti-codon, which is responsible for specific mRNA codon recognition, and the 3' end, to which the tRNAs corresponding amino acid is attached (by aminoacyl-tRNA synthetases). tRNAs cope with the degeneracy of the genetic code in two manners: having more than one tRNA (with a specific anti-codon) for a particular amino acid; and 'wobble' base-pairing, i.e. permitting non-standard base-pairing at the 3rd anti-codon position.
Source: RNAcentral
GCCGAAGUGGUGAAACUGGUAGACACGCUGUGUUCAGGGCGCAGUGGGCUUAGGCCCGUAAGGGUUCGACUCCCUUCUUCGGCA